This 549-nucleotide ribosomal RNA is filed under the name uncultured archaeon. Its description in RNAcentral is "bacterial SSU rRNA". It matches the Rfam family "Archaeal small subunit ribosomal RNA", at positions 326 to 879 of the family's 1478-position model. The record is from RNAcentral.
CGGGGUGCAGCAGGCGCGAAAACUUUACAAUGCUGGAAACUGCGAUAGGGGAACUUCGAGUGCCAUCCACCUUGGGUGCCUGUCCAACCGUCUAAAAUACUGUUGUUAGCAAGGGCCGGGAAAGACCGGUGCCACCCCCCUCGUUAAUACCGGUCGCUCGAGUGCUGCUCUAUAUUAUUUAAUCUAAUGGGUCCCUAGCCUGUUUUGCCUCUCCCCUGGGAAAUCCGCUGACUUAACCGUUGGCCUUUCAAGGCAUACUAACUUGCUAGCGACUGAGAUAAGUAGUACUCACUCGGUGGGAAUGAAUUCCUGUAAUCCUUGGGGGACCACCUGUGGCGAAGGCGUCUCACCAGGACGGCUCCGACAGUGAGGGACGAAAGCUGGGGGAGCAAACCGGAUUAAAUACCCGGGUAGUCCCAGCCGUAAACGAUGUGCGUUAGGUGUAUCGGUGACCAUGAGUCACCGAGGUGCCGAACAGAAAUCGUGAAACGUACCGCCUGGGAAGUACGGUCGCAAGGCUGAAACUUAAAGGAAUUGGCUGGGGAGCAC